AGCGAACGCUGGCGGCGUGCUUAACACAUGCAAGUCGAACGUGAAAUGUAGCAAUACAGAGUAAAGUGGCGUACGGGUGAGUAACACGUGGGUAAUCUACCAAAGAGCCUGGAAUAACCGGCCGAAAGGCUGGCUAAUACCAGAUAGUUCAAAUGAAAUAUAAUGUUUCAAUUGGGAAAGGGAGCGGGCAACCGCCUUCACUUUUUGUAUGAGCCCGCGUCUGAUUAGCUAGNGGUUGAGGUAAUGGCUCACCAAGGCUGAGAUCAGUAGCUGGUCUGAGAGGAUGAUCAGCCACACUGGAACUAGAAACACGGUCCAGACUCCUACGGGAGGCAGCAGUGGGGAAUCUUUGCGCAAUAGGACGAAAGUCUGACGCA
RNAcentral lists this ribosomal RNA (377 nucleotides) under uncultured bacterium. Its description in RNAcentral is "bacterial SSU rRNA". It matches the Rfam family "Bacterial small subunit ribosomal RNA", at positions 29 to 390 of the family's 1533-position model. The record is from RNAcentral.